Molecule: ribosomal RNA, 346 nt
Filed under: uncultured bacterium
Lineage: Bacteria
Description: bacterial SSU rRNA
Rfam family: Bacterial small subunit ribosomal RNA
Source: RNAcentral
GAUGAACGCCGGCGGUGUGCCUAAUACAUGCAAGUCGUACGCACUGGCCCAACUGAUUGAUGGUGCUUGCACCUGAUUGACGAUGGAUCACCAGUGAGUGGCGGACGGGUGAGUAACACGUAGGUAACCUGCCCCGGGAGCGGGGGAGUAACAUUUGGAAACAGAUGCUAAUACCGCAUAACAACAAAAGACCACAUGGCUUUUGUUUGAAAGAUGGCUUUGGCUAUCACUCUGGGAUGGACCUGCGGUGCAUUAGCUAGUUGGUAAGGUAACGGCUUACCAAGGCGAUGAUGCAUAGCCGAGUUGAGAGACUGAUCGGCCACAAUGGAACUGAGACACGGUCCAU